Molecule: ribosomal RNA, 113 nt
Filed under: Hyphomicrobium denitrificans
Lineage: Bacteria; Pseudomonadati; Pseudomonadota; Alphaproteobacteria; Hyphomicrobiales; Hyphomicrobiaceae
Description: partial 16S ribosomal RNA
Rfam family: Bacterial small subunit ribosomal RNA
Source: RNAcentral
CAACUUGAGAGUUUGAUCCUGGCUCAGAACGAACGCUGGCGGCAGGCCUAACACAUGCAAGUCGAACGCCCCGCAAGGGGAGUGGCAGACGGGUGAGUAACACGUGGGAACCU